This 485-nucleotide ribosomal RNA is filed under the name uncultured bacterium. RNAcentral's name for it is "partial 16S ribosomal RNA". It matches the Rfam family "Bacterial small subunit ribosomal RNA", at positions 30 to 508 of the family's 1533-position model. The record is from RNAcentral.
AUUGAACGCUGGCGGCAGGCCUAACACAUGCAAGUCGAGCGGAUGAAGGGAGCUUGCUCCUGGAUUCAGCGGCGGACGGGUGAGUAAUGCCUAGGAAUCUGCCUGGUAGUGGGGGAUAACGUCCGGAAACGGGCGCUAAUACCGCAUACGUCCUGAGGGAGAAAGUGGGGGAUCUUCGGACCUCACGCUAUCAGAUGAGCCUAGGUCGGAUUAGCUAGUUGGUGGGGCAAAGGCCUACCAAGGCGACGAUCCGUAACUGGUCUGAGAGGAUGAUCAGUCACACUGGAACUGGGACACGGUCCAGACUCCUACGGGAGGCAGCAGUGGGGAAUAUUGGACAAUGGGCGAAAGCCUGAUCCAGCCAUGCCGCGUGUGUGAAGAAGGUCUUCGGAUUGUAAAGCACUUUAAGUUGGGAGGAAGGGCAGUAAGUUAAUACCUUGCUGUUUUGACGUUACCAACAGAAUAAGCACCGGCUAACUUCGUGC